UCGGGAAUCUUGCACAAUGGGCGAAAGCCUGAUGCAGCAACGCCGUGUGAGCGAGGAAGGCCUUCGGGUCGUAAAGCUCUGUUGUUGGGGACGAAGGGCGAAGGGUUAAUAGCCCCUAGCCUGACGGUACCCUUCGAGGAAGCCCCGGCUAACUACGUGCCAGCAGCCGCGGUAAUACGUAGGGGGCGAGCGUUGUCCGGAAUUAUUGGGCGUAAAGAGCGUGUAGGCGGCCUGGUAAGUCUGCUGUGACACCUUGGGGCUCAUCGCCAAGCGUGCAGUGGAUACUGCUAGGCUAGAGGAUGGUAGAGGCGCGUGGAAUGCCCGGUGUAGCGGUGAAAUGCGCAGAUAUCGGGAGGAACACCAGUAGCGAAGGCGGCUCGCUGGGCCAUUCCUGACGCUGAGACGCGAACGCGUGGGGAGCAAAAAGGAUUAGAUACCCCCGUAGUCC
Molecule: ribosomal RNA, 448 nt
Filed under: uncultured prokaryote
Description: bacterial SSU rRNA
Rfam family: Bacterial small subunit ribosomal RNA
Source: RNAcentral